RNAcentral lists this ribosomal RNA (834 nucleotides) under uncultured archaeon. RNAcentral describes it as "bacterial SSU rRNA". It matches the Rfam family "Archaeal small subunit ribosomal RNA", at positions 21 to 859 of the family's 1478-position model. The record is from RNAcentral.
AGGUUACUGCUAUCGAGGUUCGACUAAGCCAUGCGAGUCGAAUGUAGCAAUACAUGGCGUACUGCUCAGUAACACGUGGACAACCUACCCUUAGGCCUGGGAUAACCCCGGGAAACUGGGAAUAAUACCGGAUAUCUCGCGAAUGCUGGAAUGCGUCGCGAUAGAAAGCUCCGGCGCCUAAGGAUGGGUCUGCGGCCUAUCAGGGUAGUAGUGGGUGUAACGUACCUACUAGCCUACGACGGGUACGGGUUGUGAGAUCAAGAGCCCGGAGAUGGAUUCUGAGACACGAAUCCAGGCCCUACGGGGUGCAGCAGGCGCGAAAACUUUACAAUGCUGGAAACAGCGAUAAGGGGACCUCGAGUGCCAGGAUACAAUCCUGGCUGUCGUAAUGCCUAAAAAGCAUUGCAUAGCAAGGGCCGGGCAAGACCGGUGCCAGCCGCCGCGGUAACACCGGCGGCUCGAGUGGUAACCGCUAUUAUUGGGUCUAAAGGGUCUGUAGCCGGCUGACUAAGUCUCUUGGGAAAUCUGACAGCUUAACUGUCAGGCUUUCAGGAGAUACUGAUCGGCUCGAGACCGGGAGAGGUGAGAGGUACCUCAGGGGUAGGGGUGAAAUCUUGUAAUCCUUGAGGGACCACCAGUGGCGAAGGCGUCUCACCAGAACGGAUCUGACGGCAAGGGACGAAAGCUAGGGGCACGAACCGGAUUAGAUACCCGGGUAGUCCUAGCCGUAAACGAUACUCGCUAGGUGUCGGCCACGGUGCGACCGUGGUCGGUGCCGUAGGGAAGCCGUGAAGCGAGCCACCUGGGAAGUACGGCCGCAAGGCUGAAACUUAA